This 499-nucleotide ribosomal RNA is filed under the name uncultured Glomeromycotina. RNAcentral's name for it is "partial small subunit ribosomal RNA". It matches the Rfam family "Eukaryotic small subunit ribosomal RNA", at positions 591 to 1092 of the family's 1831-position model. Lineage: Eukaryota; Fungi; Glomeromycota. The record is from RNAcentral.
CCAAUAGCGUAUAUUAAAGUUGUUGCAGUUAAAAAGCUCGUAGUUGAAUUUUGGAUUCUACCAAUCGGUCCAUCUUUUAGAUGAGUACUGGUUGUGUGGGGUCUAUCCGCCUGGUGAUACGUAAUGUCCUUUAUUGGAUGUUGCGGGUAGUCAGGACCUUUACCUUGAAAAAAUUAGAGUGUUUAAAGCAGGCUUAUGCCGGAAUACAUUAGCAUGGAAUAAUAGAAUAGGACGAAGUUGUUUUAUUUUGUUGGUUUCUAGGACAACCGUAAUGAUUAAUAGGGAUAGUUGGGGGCAUUAGUAUUCAAUUGUCAGAGGUGAAAUUCUUGGAUUUAUUGAAGACUAACUACUGCGAAAGCAUUUGCCAAGGAUGUUUUCAUUAAUCAAGAACGAAAGUUAGGGGAUCGAAGACGAUCAGAUACCGUCGUAGUCUUAACCAUAAACUAUGCCGACUAGGGAUCGGGCGAUGUUGUUUCCAUGACUCGCUCGGCACCUUAUG